RNAcentral lists this ribosomal RNA (551 nucleotides) under uncultured Glomeromycotina. RNAcentral's name for it is "SSU rRNA". It matches the Rfam family "Eukaryotic small subunit ribosomal RNA", at positions 548 to 1098 of the family's 1831-position model. Lineage: Eukaryota; Fungi; Glomeromycota. The record is from RNAcentral.
UUGGAGGGCAAGUCUGGUGCCAGCAGCCGCGGUAAUUCCAGCUCCAAUAGCGUAUAUUAAAGUUGUUGCAGUUAAAAAGCUCGUAGUUGAAUUUCGGGAUUCAUCCGUUGGUCGGGCUUCACGGUCCGUACUGGUGUGAUGGGUUCCUACCUACUGAAUAACCGGCAUGCCAUUAAUUUGGUGCGCCGGGGAAGCAGAACUAUUACCUUGAAAAAAUUAGAGUGCUUAAAGCAGGCAAGUGCCUGAAUAGGUUAGCAUGGAAUAAUAAAAUAGGACGGCAUGGUUCUAUUUUGUUGGUUUCUAGGAUCACCGUAAUGAUUAAUAGGGAUAGUUGGGGGCAUUAGUAUUCAAUUGUCAGAGGUGAAAUUCUUGGAUUUAUUGAAGACUAACUUCUGCGAAAGCAUUUGCCAAGGAUGUUUUCAUUAAUCAAGAACGAAAGUUAGGGGAUCGAAGACGAUCAGAUACCGUCGUAGUCUUAACCAUAAACUAUGCCGACUAGGGAUCGGACGAUGUUAAUUUUUUAAUGACUCGUUCGGCGCCUUACGGGAAAC